UGGCUCGUAGCUCAAUCGGAUAGAGCAGCUCCAUCUUAGGAGACCGUUGGAGGUUCGAAUCCUUCCGGGCCAA
This 73-nucleotide transfer RNA is filed under the name Candidatus Woesebacteria bacterium RIFCSPHIGHO2_01_FULL_39_95. RNAcentral's name for it is "tRNA-OTHER". It matches the Rfam family "tRNA". From Rfam's summary of the family: Transfer RNA (tRNA) molecules are approximately 80 nucleotides in length. RNAcentral also lists the same sequence under 4 other names. The record is from RNAcentral. Lineage: Bacteria; Candidatus Woeseibacteriota.